This 253-nucleotide ribosomal RNA is filed under the name uncultured bacterium. Its description in RNAcentral is "partial 16S ribosomal RNA". It matches the Rfam family "Bacterial small subunit ribosomal RNA", at positions 524 to 776 of the family's 1533-position model. The record is from RNAcentral.
UACGAAGGGUGCAAGCGUUACUCGGAAUUACUGGGCGUAAAGCGUGCGUAGGCGGUUUUUUAAGUCCGUUGUGAAAGCCCUGGGCUCAACCUGGGAAUGGCAGUGGAUACUGGAAAGCUAGAGUGCGGUAGAGGGUAGUGGAAUUCCCGGUGUAGCAGUGAAAUGCGUAGAGAUCGGGAGGAACACCAGUGGCGAAGGCGGCUACCUGGACCAGCACUGACACUGAGGUGCGAAAGCGUGGGUAGCAAACAGG